RNAcentral lists this ribosomal RNA (468 nucleotides) under uncultured bacterium. RNAcentral describes it as "partial 16S ribosomal RNA". It matches the Rfam family "Bacterial small subunit ribosomal RNA", at positions 28 to 507 of the family's 1533-position model. The record is from RNAcentral.
GACGAACGCUGGCGGCGUGCUUAACACAUGCAAGUCGAACGGAAAGGCCCUGCUUUUGUGGGGUGCUCGAGUGGCGAACGGGUGAGUAACACGUGAGUAACCUGCCCUUGACUUUGGGAUAACUUCAGGAAACUGGGGCUAAUACCGGAUAGGAGCUCCUGCUGCAUGGUGGGGUUUGGAAAGUUUCGGCGGUUGGGGAUGGACUCGGGGCUUAUCAGCUUGUUGGUGGGGUAGUUGCUUACCAAGGCUUUGAUGGGUAGCCGGCCUGGGAGGGUGACCGGCCACAAUGGGACUGAGGUACGGCCCAGAGUCCUACGGGAGGCAGCAGUGGGGAAUAUUGCACAAUGGGCGGAAGCCUGAUGCAGCAACGCCGCGUGCGGGAUGACGGCCUUCGGGUUGUAAACCGCUUUCGCCUGUGACGAAGCGUGAGUGACGGUAAUGGGUAAAGAAGCACCGGCUAACUACGUG